Molecule: ribosomal RNA, 446 nt
Filed under: uncultured Actinomycetes bacterium
Lineage: Bacteria; Bacillati; Actinomycetota; Actinomycetes
Description: uncultured actinobacterium partial 16S ribosomal RNA
Rfam family: Bacterial small subunit ribosomal RNA
Source: RNAcentral
CCUACGGGAGGCAGCAGUGGGGAAUCUUGCGCAAUGGGCGAAAGCCUGACGCAGCAACGCCGUGUGGAGGAUGAAGGUCUUCGGAUUGUAAACUCCUUUCAGCAGGGACGAAGCCGCAAGGUGACGGUACCUGCAGAAGAAGCCCCGGCUAACUACGUGCCAGCAGCCGCGGUAAUACGUAGGGGGCCAGCGUUGUCCGGAUUUAUUGGGCGUAAAGCGCACGUAGGCGGCUUGCCAAGUCAGGUGUGAAAUGUCUCGGCUUAACCGAGGAUCUGCACUUGAAACUGGCUCGCUAGAGUGCAGGAGAGGGAAGUGGAAUUCCUAGUGUAGCGGUGAAAUGCGCAGAUAUUAGGAAGAACACCGGUGGCGAAGGCGGCUUCCUGGACUGCAACUGACGCUGAGGUGCGAAAGCUAGGGGAGCGAACAGGAUUAGAUCCCCUGGUAGU